This is a long non-coding RNA of Mesoplodon densirostris (Blainville's beaked whale), 417 nucleotides long. RefSeq lists it as uncharacterized. The transcript is spliced from 4 exons. Lineage: Eukaryota; Metazoa; Chordata; Mammalia; Artiodactyla; Ziphiidae. The record is from RefSeq and is a predicted model, not a curated record.
UUCACAAUCCUCAAGGCCACUAGCAGAGACAUGAGUAGCAGAAUUGUAAAUGAAAAUGGAGAGAAUUGGCAUAGAGGUGGACAUCCUAAAUUCCUCAUCACGCCUCCACCACCAACUCUAUGUUACGACGGAAGUAAAGAUGGACAAGUGAUGCCAAAAACAGAAACCAACAAGUAAAUCCAGAGAAAAUAUAACAUGUUGUUUAUUCUCUUCCUUUUGGAUUGCUUUUCUGGGACUGUCUACUGGGAUCUGAAUAUACAGAUCAAUAAACAGAGUCACUAAUAUAUGGACAAUGAGCUUUUUAGAGCAGAAGUCAGCAGAGGUCCUCCCCACCCCCAGGGAGCUGGGUGGUGUACAGAGGCAGCAUGGCUUAGAGGAGAGAAGGUGACAAUAACCUGAAUCCUAAUCUUUAUUCCC